This is a long non-coding RNA of Pan troglodytes (chimpanzee), 707 nucleotides long. RefSeq lists it as uncharacterized. The transcript is spliced from 2 exons. The record is from RefSeq and is a predicted model, not a curated record. NCBI's taxonomy places the organism in Eukaryota, Metazoa, Chordata, Mammalia, Primates, Hominidae.
UGUGGUAGCGCCAGAGUGGGAACUUAGACAUCCAGCCUUAAAACUGAUCUUUUAACCUCUGUGCUAUUCUGCUUCCAGAAGGAUGAAAUGAGAUCAUACAUAAAGAGCUUGGCCCAGCCGAGGAGCCGUCACCUAACCGUGCUCAGGAGUGCAUCAUGGUUGAGAGUGUGAGCUGUGGAGGUGAUGGGCAUCCAACGGCAUCCAAUUCUGCCCUGCUAGUAUUAUAUUUGUGCUUAGGCAGAAACCUUGGUUUUCUCAUCUGUGAAAAGAGGGUGAUACUACCAACCUUAUAAGGCUGUAGUGAAGAUUAGAGGAAGUAACAUGUACCAACGGCUUAUGACCGAGCCAGGCACAAGGCAGCGUUCAAUGAUGCAAGCAGAGGAAGCAGGGAACAGCUGGGGCUUCCUGCCCGUUUCCUCUGUCCUAACAGCUCCUUUUUGCAGACACUGGGAAUCAAAACCAAAACGCAUGCAACCUUCCACCUUGAAGAACAGCACCACAUCACCUCUUUGCUAAGCCUGAUUCCCGUUUUCUGGAUAGGAAACUGACACACAAAGUAUCUCCAGAAUCAUAUCAGAGGGACCACUUCAUCUUCUGCCAUGACUGGAAGCUUCCUGAGGCCCUCAACAGAAGCAGAUGCUGGCACUAUGCUUCAUGUACAGCCUGCAGAACCAUGAGCCAAAUAAAUCUCCUUUCUUUAUAAAUUA